CAGUAAGGAAUAUUGGUCAAUGGAGGCAACUCUGAACCAGCCAUGCCGCGUGCAGGAUGACUGCCCUAUGGGUUGUAAACUGCUUUUGUACAGGAAUAAACCUCUUUACGUGUAAAGGGCUGAAUGUACUGUAAGAAUAAGGAUCGGCUAACUCCGUGCCAGCAGCCGCGGUAAUACGGAGGAUCCAAGCGUUAUCCGGAUUUAUUGGGUUUAAAGGGUGCGUAGGCGGAAUGAUAAGUCAGAGGUGAAAGCCUACAGCUUAACUGUAGAAUUGCCUUUGAUACUGUCGUUCUUGAGUACAUUUGGUGUGGGCGGAAUGUGUCAUGUAGCGGUGAAAUGCUUAGAUAUGACACAGAACACCGAUCGCGAAGGCAGCUCACAAAACUGUUACUGACGCUGAGGCACGAAAGCGUGGGGAUCGAACAGGAUUAGA
Molecule: ribosomal RNA, 433 nt
Filed under: uncultured bacterium
Lineage: Bacteria
Description: bacterial SSU rRNA
Rfam family: Bacterial small subunit ribosomal RNA
Source: RNAcentral